Molecule: ribosomal RNA, 468 nt
Filed under: uncultured bacterium
Lineage: Bacteria
Description: partial 16S ribosomal RNA
Rfam family: Bacterial small subunit ribosomal RNA
Source: RNAcentral
GACGAACGCUGGCGGCGUGCUUAACACAUGCAAGUCGAACGGACAGGCCCUGCUUUUGUUGGUUGCUCGAUUGGCGAACGGGUGAGUAACACGUGAGUAACCUCCCCUUGACUUUGGGAUAACUUCAGGAAACUGGGGCUCAUACCGGAUAUGAUCUCCUGCUGCAUGUUGGGGGUUGGAAAGUUUCGGCGGUUGGGGAUGGACUCGCGGCUUAUCAGCUUGUUGGUGUGGUAGUGGCUUACCAAGGCUUUGACGGGUAGCCGGCCUGAGAGGGUGACCGGCCACAUUGGGACUGAGAGACGGCGCAGACUCGUACGGGAGGCAGCAGUGGGGAAUAUUGCACAAUGGGCGGAAGCCUGAUGCAGCAACGCCGCGUGCGGGAUGACGGCCUUCGGGUUGUAAACCGCUUUCGCCUGUGACGAAGAGUGAGUGACGGUAAUGGGUAAAGAAGCACCGGCUAACUACGUG